RNAcentral lists this ribosomal RNA (253 nucleotides) under uncultured bacterium. Its description in RNAcentral is "partial 16S ribosomal RNA". It matches the Rfam family "Bacterial small subunit ribosomal RNA", at positions 524 to 776 of the family's 1533-position model. The record is from RNAcentral.
UACGUAGGUGGCAAGCGUUGUUCGGAAUUACUGGGCGUAAAGCGCGUGUAGGCGGCUCUUCAAGUCAGACGUGAAAGCCCCGGGCUUAACUCGGGAACUGCGUUUGAUACUGUCGAGCUAGAGUGUGGAAGGGGCGAUUGGAAUUCCGUGUGUAGCGGUGAAAUGCGUAGAUAUACGGAGGAACACCAGGGGCGAAGGCGGAUCGCUGGGCCAACACUGACGCUGAGACGCGAAAGCGUGGGGAGCAAACAGG